AAGUACAAGGUUGUGACAUUGCUCCAUAAUCUUUUAUGUUUCCAUUUCAUUUGUUUAAUAAUUCUGUUUGACUCAGCAAAGGGUACUAACAGACUUAACUGUGUAAUACAAUCACAUUGAUGUACGGUAAUUCGAGUUUUAAAAUAUAAAAAAAAAAAUGAAAUCAAAUGGAAAAGAAAAAAGUAGACUUGGCACAGUAAACAGCAACUAUCGUCCCAGUACUAUCUGCUUUGAUUACCGAUUAGGCCGUUCUCGAAUUUCGUGUGCGUCGCCGUCGUGAUGUGUUACUUGAACUGAUUUUGGCUCGCAAGGCCGAACACUACUCAUUUUACCAUUUCAAAGAAACUGCAACGAAAAUGUGAGACAAAACUGAAACACUUUCUUGUUCGUGAUGUUUUGUUCGACUGUCGUUACGUCGCUUAGAGGCAUUUCUUUGAAUAAACAAGCAAGAAAAAUCAAGAUGUAUUGACAGAAAUAAAUGAAAGUAUUGCCCACUACAAUAAUUACAAUAGGUUGAUAGCCUUUGGGCGCCAUUUUCUUGUUCACCUGCCCAACCGUCUGUAAUACUUUUGGCAGCUCUCUCGGCCGGACAAACAAUCUAAUGAAUAAAGCUUGCAGCUAAAAAAAAAAAAAAAAAACAGAUCGUUACCUUGACGAAAAGAAAACAACCAAUUUUCUUUGGAGAUAAAAGUUAAAUCACAUUUUCUUCUAUCGUUUGGAAAGUAUGACAGAUUCGAUUCGGAGUUCCAGUUUAAUCAUUAAACACACGAUUACCAAUUGUUUCAACAAAAACAGAAAAAAUUCGGACACUUUAGAAAAAAUUGUUGGCAUAUCUCUUUAUACGGACGUUUUAUUUCACAGUCCAAACACGAAGGGGAAGAAGAAAAAAAAAGAAAACCAAUGGCGGCGGUUGGCGGUGGCGGUUUCUUCGGUGGUGAAUUAAAAAAUAAAGAAUUUCGGCUUUUUAUUAUUUUCCGCCCUUCAAGAUUUUUAUUUGUGUUAUCCCUUCUGUGCCUAUCUUUGCCCUGAUUGAUGAGGCCACAACAUUUUUUUUCUUUCUUCGAUGAUGACGACUUUUAUACGCCAAUGGAGUCUCGGAAGCAACCGCUGUUUUUUUAAUGAGGUCGCCCCGUGUGUCUUUUUUUUUUAAGAAGCCGAAUCAUUGGCUGCCAUCCAUCUCGUCAUUGAAUCCAUGUCCGCUGGCCCGAUACGUCAACGUCAAUAGACACAACAACAUGGAAGAGUAUAUAGGCACGCCGAUAUAUAUUGAUGUAAAUAAAUAUCUCUUUUUUUUUUUCUUUUUGCUGUGUGUGUGUGUGUGGAUGGGACGUUGUUGGGGGGGUUAUGCUAAUCAGGUAUGCAUCAUCCAUCACCAGUGGUGCGCCAUCAACCGUAAACAUUGAACAGCUCUAUACGGAAAAUAUUAAAGAGAAAAGAAAAAACAAAAAAGAAAAGUAAAAACAAAAAUCAACCUUAAAAGACCAAUCCUAUUUUCUUUUAAAGAGACAUUUUCUCGAGAAAAAGGAAGUAUGUUGAAAUUCCCUGAAUCAUCGAUUUUUUAUUGUGUCAAAUUGUAUACUCUAUCAAAUGCAAUAAUUGAACAGUAGCUACUGGA
Molecule: long non-coding RNA, 1615 nt
Filed under: Daphnia magna
Lineage: Eukaryota; Metazoa; Arthropoda; Branchiopoda; Diplostraca; Daphniidae
Description: uncharacterized LOC116916957, transcript variant X3
Source: RNAcentral